UUCUUGUAUACGUGAUGUGACGCGGGUAUAUUUAUACAUAUACAUAUACAUGAAUAAUAUAAUAACUGCCAGCGUGGUGCGAAUGACACGGUGACGAAUCUCUUUCUCUGCAACGAAUGACAGGCUUCUGAUUUCUCGACUCAUCAAUGAAGCCUGCUAGAUUAAAAAAUUAUGCUAAGCAUCUGUCAUGAACGUAACUGGAGGUGGUAAACGACCUCUGGUAGUUUUAAGAGAGGUAAGAGAAAAUGGGGAGGCGAGAGAACGUCGUCUGGACAACUGCGGUGACAGUUGCAUUUCUGGUGAUUGCACUGAGCUCCGGUCGCACAAAACAACCUUCGAUCAUCGUCACAAAAGAGUGCUCCUCUCAUCUGAUUCGUCCAAAUCUGCCGACAACUUGGCUGAGAGUGAUCAGGCCGGUAUGGGAAAAGAUUCAAAACCAUUUUUCAACCCUUGCAAGAACGAUCAUCCAGCCCGAGAAAUGAUGAAAGACGAUGCGAAAGGUAUCUUAUUUCACUCAGACAUUCUCCACGCAGAGACCGACGUAGAUUCAAAAAAGGGGGAGGAUGAGAAACCCCCAAAGGCGGCAAAGAAAAAGAAACGAAGAUUUCUCACGAUUUGUACGAGCAACUGUAAGUACGAAGUUGUUAGAAGAGUCGCGGCGCGAUUUGGAAUGAAAGAAGUCACGGAAGACAGCAGCUGGAAUUUGUAUUGGACGGAUCUGAGUGUCAGCAUAGAACGAGCGAAAGACAUGAAACGUUUUCAAAAAGUUAAUCAUUUUCCCGGGAUGACGGAGAUUUGCCGGAAGGAUUUACUCGCCAGAAAUCUUAAUCGGAUGCUUAGACUUUUUCCGAAAGAUUACAACUUCUUCCCAAAAACUUGGUGUCUUCCUGCCGAUCACGGAGAAGCGAUUUCGUACGCCAAAGUACGAAGAACGAAAACCUUCAUUGUGAAACCGGAUACUGGUUGCCAAGGACGCGGCAUAUACUUGACCAAAAAUUUAAAGGACGUUAAGCCAUACGACAGGAUGAUUUGUCAGGUUUACAUAGCAAGGCCUUUCCUCGUCGAUGGAUUCAAGUUCGACUUGCGUGUUUAUACCUUAAUAACUUCGUGCGACCCUCUGAGGAUUUAUAUUUACAAUGACGGUCUUGCGAGGUUUGCUACAAGUCGUUACAAGGAGCCAACAGGUCACAAUACUUCGAACGUUUUCAUGCAUCUAACCAACUACGCGGUCAACAAACACAGUCGUAUGUACGUCGUUGAUGAUGAAGCUGGAAGCAAGAGAAAAAUUUCAACCCUCAAUAAAUGGCUAAAAAUGAAAGACGUGGAUGUCGAUGAGUUGUGGUCGAGAAUCGAUGAGGUUAUUAUAAAAACGGUAUUGGCUGCGUAUCCCGUUCUGAAGCACAGCUAUCACACGUGUUUUCCCACCCACGACACGACUUAUGCAUGUUUCGAACUUCUCGGCUUCGAUGUUCUUCUCGACUGGAAGUUGAAGCCGUAUCUGUUAGAGGUGAAUCAUUCGCCAAGCUUCCACACCGACGCCCAAAUUGACAAAGACAUCAAAGAAUCGCUGCUGAUGGACACGUUUGACAUACUGAAUUUUCAACAAUGUGAUAAAAAGAAAAUCAUCGAAGAGGAUAGAAAGAGGGUCAGAGAAAGACUGCUCCAGGGAAUAAAUUCCAGAGACUCUAGUCUAAACGACGCAGCAUCGUCAGGCGUAGGAAAACUUGAGAAACCAGAGGAAAGCGCAAUUGAGAAACAGUACAAAUGGGAGGACGAGCAUUUGGGAAAUUUCAGAAGAGUCUAUCCAGGCCCAGGCACUGAGAAAUACGAUCCGUUCUUCAAGCAGGGUGGAAGUUCCAUGUUUCAAGAUACAGCUGCGUCCAGGGCUCGCGAAGAGGCUGCCAAAGUGCACAGAGAAGAAGCAGAGUUACGGAUUAAGGAGCAGGAGGGUAAAAGGAUGCUUGGCAAAUGGAGCGAUCAUAAACUGCGGCCCGAAAGUCCAGUGAGCAAUAAAAAAUCAGGAGCUGUUAUAAUCAGCCAAGACAAGAGCAAGCCAAAAAUUAUGGCGAAAAAGGUGAAAAAACCAGCCACCACUCAAUUUACUGAUAAUAAUCUGUACUCCUUUGAACCUGAGAUAAUUUGCGAGUCUGAGGAAAGGGAUCGUAUAACCGCGUUGGCGCAGCGUGAUUUCUUGAUAAAAAGCUACGGCAUGUUAGAGCAAAUAUAUUUGGCUAUGAAAAAGAACGGCACGUUGCGACCGGAGGAUGAAAAAAAAUACGGACUCUACGGAAAACUUGGAUACAUGAAUGAUAUAUCGUUGAAUGGAUCUGCUCUUGGUAAAAAAUCGUAUUAUUCUUACCAGAAUAUAUCGGUACAAAAAGCAGCUGCAAGGUAUCAACCUAUGGCAAACCAAAGUGCCGAAUACAUAUUGAAAGUAGUAAAGGGCUCGAAAAAGUCUGUAGUGACGUAAAUGGCAAGAUUGUUUGUUAUUCCUACCGUACCCGUAUUCGUGAAUAAGACAAAAUUUUCAAAUGGUACGACAGAAGAUAUUAUGUAUGUAAACAAUAAGUUGUAUCUUGGAUUACCGAUACACCGUAUACACCUCUUGGAAAUAUCUCGGAUAAUUUUAAAGUAUCGGUUAGCAGGUUCUGCAAACGGAUACAAAAAUGGGGAUAAAUGUGAGUUAGAAUUAAUUUUUGUAACUCCAAAUGACAAGUUCGCAUGUAUGUACUCGAGUACUUUUCGCGUCGAGACUUAACGACUUAGACUUAUAAAACAAUGGCAAUAAUUAAUGAUUAAGAAUGGAAAAUUGACUGUAAGUGUAACCGCCGUGUAUGCACAGGUUUAAAAAUAAUGUGCAACGAGGCACCGGUCUACGCGAGACCGGAUAUCCCGGAAAAACUUUGGAUCGAAGAGUUGAAUGCAAAUGAACGAGACGCGAGAAUGACAAAGACUCAUGUGGCUAGAACACUGUCAAACGCCCUGCGACUCCAUGCUUUGGAGAAAAGAGAGACAUCAAAUCCUUCCAACGUAUAAACGUAGAGCUUCGUUGAUUGAAUGAAUGUAGAAAAUAUCCGGGCAAACCGGUAAAUAAUAAUUACUGCAUAAGACCAGCGGAUAGAUGUCCGAGACUUGGCUAACUUAUAAAUGAACAUUUAUUAUACGCAUAUUAUUGCAGUG
Molecule: RNA transcript, 3180 nt
Organism: Diprion similis
Lineage: Eukaryota; Metazoa; Arthropoda; Insecta; Hymenoptera; Diprionidae
Gene name: tubulin polyglutamylase TTLL13-like
Exons: 13
Source: RefSeq, a predicted model, not a curated record